This is a long non-coding RNA of Astatotilapia calliptera (eastern happy), 1571 nucleotides long. The record is from Ensembl. Lineage: Eukaryota; Metazoa; Chordata; Actinopteri; Cichliformes; Cichlidae.
CUUCUGCCUGGCCGGCCUCCUGAACUGUUUUCUGGGCUCUUGGGCCGUCAGCCUCCGGGCCGGCCCCCUGAACUUUUUGUGAACUGUUUUUCCUGGCUGCCUGCGCCUGUCAUGAGCCUGUUUUUUGUUCUGUUGCUUUCCGGGCUCCAGUGUUUGCACUUUUUUUUGUUUCUGGCUCAAUGUGUUUCAUUUGUUUCGAGCCCUCCAUCCUGUUUCCCCCGCCGCCCACCCUGGUUGGGUUGUUUGGAAGCCAGCCCUUAAGGGGGGGGGUACUGUUAGGAUGCCUGGGUCGUCGACCCAGGGUUUUUGAGUUUUUGAUAUUAUUUAUACUUCCUAGUUUUUGGUUUCUUUGAGUUCCGUCUUAUGGCUUAUGUCUCUGUCGUCUUUAGUUGCUCUGUCUCCCCUAUCACCUGCAUCCCCUUGUCUAGUUCGCGUCUAUGUGUAUCUUAAGUUCCUAUAUCCCCGUGUUCAGUCAGUGUUUGUGUCUGCCCUGUUCCCACGUCUCUGUUCCCUUUGUAGUGCCUGCAUGUGAGUCUGUGUCUUUGUUCAGUCUGUGUUAUGUGUUUCCUGUUUUACUUUGAAGGUCUCUGUCUUUUCUCAGUGUGUUCAGUUUAUGCUUCUUUGGUCUCGUCAGUUCUGAUUUGCCCCAGCUGUGUUUCCCUCCUGUUACCCAUUCCCUGAUUGCGCCCUCUGUGUAUUUAAGCCCUGUGUUUCUCUGUGUCCGUGUCGCGAUCUACCGUUUUCCUAGCUGUGUGUUCUGUCAUUCCUCCAGUUUAAGUUUGUUUUGAGUUUUUUUUUUUUCAGUUAUAUUUUUGAGUACCAAAGUAAAGCCUUUUUGAGUUCACCUCUGUCUCCGGAGUCUGCACCUUGGGUCCUAUUCCUGCCUGCACACAGCCACACCUAACAAUUUGUUGUCUCCCUCACUUUGCUGAAGAGCGCGAGCAUGUUGGAGGAGAAUUCUCAUUUGGCCUGCAUUCAAUCAUCUCCUAUUGUAAGACCCAAUGAAAGCUCCACUGAUGCUAAAACAUGAAGCUAUGGCUCUGUUUUGUGGUGCAAGCAGCAAAGCAGAUCAAAUUCUCAGGCAAAGAAGAAAUGCAGAGUUUGUCUCCCUGCAAACCCUUAUGUCCCAGAAUUAAGUUUGUUUAAACAUAGUGAUGUUAAAAUGUCACGUGCGACGGCUUAUUAUCGCUUGUGUCCUGCUUUAAACCUUCUCUUCAUCAUUCUGCUCUUUAAAUCUAGUCUCUUCAUUUCUUCAUCUUUAUUCCCAAUUUUCAUUUUCUUGAUUAUGUCUCCAUUCAGCUCCUCCCCCCCAUCACCUUCUCUGGCAGGCGUUAGUCUAAAUGAGGGUGAUUUAUUAUCGCGUUUCUCCUUUCCUACUGAAGCACCAUUACUGCAGACGCCUCGCCAGAAACACAAAGGCUCACUAGGAUUUUACAAUUCCCAGCGCACAUACUAAUUCAUAUACAGAAUACAGAAUGAGAUCAUGUAAAGAAGUUCCUACACAGAGCUUCAAAAUACGCCGUUUGCACACAAUGAUGUGCAAGUAUGCAUGCUGGCUGACACACUCUUAU